This 539-nucleotide long non-coding RNA is filed under the name Mus pahari (shrew mouse). RNAcentral describes it as "lncRNA (MGP_PahariEiJ_G0002290.1)". Lineage: Eukaryota; Metazoa; Chordata; Mammalia; Rodentia; Muridae. The record is from RNAcentral.
CACUGACAAGGAACCUGGUCUCAAAUGAGGGUAAGGCGAGUGGGGCCAAGAAUUAGGUAAGGUGAGGCAGAAGUGGGUGAAAACCCCACCCGGUGACAGUUUGGGAACUAAGCAUCCCCUGCACUGGCCACUCCUGCAGUCGUCUCCAGUCUCACUUACAACCUGCUGAAACACUCCAGUCAUGAUCAAACUAUUGAAGUGCCAGACAGUGUUGUUGAAGUGCACAGCAUUCUUCUACAUGUUCACAAUAAAUCACAGAAUUGGCAAGCCUUUUCCCAGUACAAAUAUUUUGAUUGCAAAGAUGAUGAUUAAACUGUAUCUUAUAAAAUGGCCCACUGAUUCAUAUAAGUGGGAGCAUCAAUCCAGUGGUAGAGAGACAAUAUUUACUAAUGGAUCCCUGCGACUCUUUAAUGUCACCCAGAAAGAUACAGGAUGCUUCAGCAUGCAAACCUUUGAUACAUAUCAUCAAAGUGAACAAACAAAUGCCUAUACCAUGCAUCACCCAGCAGGUGUUUCCUUGUAACUUCUGGAUACUGGAU